Molecule: ribosomal RNA, 351 nt
Filed under: uncultured Lactobacillus sp.
Lineage: Bacteria; Bacillati; Bacillota; Bacilli; Lactobacillales; Lactobacillaceae
Description: bacterial SSU rRNA
Rfam family: Bacterial small subunit ribosomal RNA
Source: RNAcentral
AACGUUUUAAAAAGAUGGUUCUGCUAUCACUCUUGGAUGGACCUGCGGUGCAUUAGCUAGUUGGUAGGUAACGGCUACCAAGGCGAUGAUGCAUAGCCGAGUUGAGAGACUGAUCGGCCACAUUGGGACUGAGACACGGCCCAAACUCCUACGGGAGGCAGCAGUAGGGAAUCUUCCACAAUGGACGCAAGUCUGAUGGAGCAACGCCGCGUGAGUGAAGAAGGGUUUCGGCUCGUAAAGCUCUGUUGUCGGUGAAGAAAGGACAGGGGUAGGUAACUAGACCGUUCGUUUGUACGGUAAGUACUAAUUAGAAAGUCACGGGCUAACUACGUGCCAGCAGCCGCGGUAAAU